GCCCGUCUAGCUCAGUCGGUAGAGCGCAAGGCUCUUAACCUUGUGGUCGCGGGUUCGAGCCCCACGGUGGGUG
Molecule: transfer RNA, 73 nt
Filed under: Perkinsus olseni
Lineage: Eukaryota; Perkinsozoa; Perkinsida; Perkinsidae
Description: tRNA-Lys
Rfam family: tRNA
About the family: Transfer RNA (tRNA) molecules are approximately 80 nucleotides in length. Their secondary structure includes four short double-helical elements and three loops (D, anti-codon, and T loops). Further hydrogen bonds mediate the characteristic L-shaped molecular structure. tRNAs have two regions of fundamental functional importance: the anti-codon, which is responsible for specific mRNA codon recognition, and the 3' end, to which the tRNAs corresponding amino acid is attached (by aminoacyl-tRNA synthetases). tRNAs cope with the degeneracy of the genetic code in two manners: having more than one tRNA (with a specific anti-codon) for a particular amino acid; and 'wobble' base-pairing, i.e. permitting non-standard base-pairing at the 3rd anti-codon position.
Source: RNAcentral